GGUAAAGGCUCACCAAGGCGACGAUCUGUAGCGGGUCUGAGAGGAUGAUCCGCCACACUGGAACUGAGGCACGGUCCAGACUCCUACGGGAGGCAGCAGUGGGGAAUUUUGGACAAUGGGGGCAACCCUGAUCCAGCCAUGCCGCGUGAGUGAAGAAGGCCUUCGGGUUGUAAAGCUCUUUCGGCCGGGAAGAAAUCGUAUGGGUUAAUACCCUGUGCGGAUGACGGUACCGGCAUAAGAAGCACCGGCUAACUACGUGCCAGCAGCCGCGGUAAUACGUAGGGUGCGAGCGUUAAUCGGAAUUACUGGGCGUAAAGCGUGCGCAGGCGGUUUUGUAAGACAGGCGUGAAAUCCCCGGGCUCAACCUGGGAACUGCGCUUGUGACUGCAAGGCUAGAGUAUGGCAGAGGGGGGUGGAAUUCCACGUGUAGCAGUGAAAUGCGUAGAGAUGUGGAGGAACACCAAUGGCGAAGGCAGCCCCCUGGGCCAAUACUGACGCUCAUGCACGAAAGCGUGGGUAGCAAACAGGAUUAGAUACCCUGGUAGUCCACGCCCUAAACGAUGUCAACUAGGUGUUGGGUGGGUAAAACCAUUUAGUACCGGAGCUAACGCGUGAAGUUGACCGCCUGGGGAGUACGGCCGCAAGGUUAAAACUCAAAGGAAUUGACGGGGACCCGCACAAGCGGUGGAUGAUGUGGAUUAAUUCGAUGCAACGCGAAAAACCUUACCUACCCUUGACAUGUCCAGGAGCCUGAAGAGAUUUGGGUGUGCCCGAAAGGGAACUGGAACACAGGUGCUGCAUGGCUGUCGUCAGCUCGUGUCGUGAGAUGUUGGGUUAAGUCCCGCAACGAGCGCAACCCUUGUCGUUAAUUGCCAUCAUUUAGUUGGGCACUUUAACGAGACUGCCGGUGACAAACCGGAGGAAGGUGGGGAUGACGUCAAGUCCUCAUGGCCCUUAUGGGUAGGGCUUCACACGUCAUACAAUGGUCGGUACAAAGGGUUGCCAACCCGCGAGGGGGAGCCAAUCCCAGAAAGCCGAUCGUAGUCCGGAUUGCAGGCUGCAACUCGCCUGCAUGAAGUCGGAAUCGCUAGUAAUCGUGGAUCAGCAUGUCACGGUGAAUACGUUCCCGGGUCUUGUACACACCGCCCGUCACACCAUGGGAGCGGGUUCCGCCAGAAGUAGGUAGCCUAACCGCAAGGGGGGCGCUUACCACGGCGGGGUUCGUGACUGGGGUGAAGUCGUAACAAGGUA
Molecule: ribosomal RNA, 1251 nt
Filed under: metagenome
Description: bacterial SSU rRNA
Rfam family: Bacterial small subunit ribosomal RNA
Source: RNAcentral